UUUAAGGAGUGAACCUUAUCUUAUUCCUAUAGCAAAACAUCUUUUACAGAUUCAACAAGAACCCUUAAACAUUCCGAAUGCUGAAAACACAGGAAUAACCUUUGGGGAGUAGUAUACAUAAAUCUAUAAUUUGUUCCCUAAAUAACAGAAAAGAGGGUAGGGCGAAGAAAUUAAAUCAGAAGACAAGCAAACAAGUGCCUCCAAUGAGGUUAGCAUCAGAUGCCCCCAGCAACAUCAAUAUACACAUGCAUUUUCACAAGCCAGAGCAGAGAGUGCCACCACCACUACAAUAGCCAUAACUAUAUCAACAACAAGAAGAAUAUAAAACUCUGUAUUUAGUCUAAUGGCAUGUUGUGCAUUGAACAACUCCCCAAGCUAGAACCAAAUGCAAAGUCCACAGACUCGCAACAUUAUUUUCAAUCCUUCUACACUUCCUCUCUAUCUCGGCUGCUACUCUUCAAGAUAUUGUACUUGCAGAGAGGGCAGGUAGCAUUAAUGUACAGCCACUUAUCUACACAGGGACAGUGGAAGUGGUGACCACAAGGAAGUUCCCUUAGCUCAACUCCAUCGUCAUAAGCAGAAAGGCAGAUGCAACAUUCCGCAUCCUCCUCUGAAAGAACAUGUUCAACUGGUGAAUCUGUACCACAUUCAGUCAUUAUCCCACCCAGAGGUCCUUGUGCCUCGCCAACAAGUUUCUCACUAUUAACAGUUUUGCGGAAUUUGAAUUUUGAGAGCUGAUCGAUGUCUUCCUUAGAUGCUCCUUCCUGUUUUAACAGGUUGUAUAAAAAAUUGAAGAAAAACAAUAAGACAUUUAUAUAUGCUAACCAGAAACUGCAUACCAGGUAUAGGAACUAGCAUUUCAAGGAAGUUGACACAGCCAUGCCUGGCCAUAAAACUUUGAAGUUUGAACUAAACCAAAAGGAACUAUAAAAAUAUCUCUGUGUUUCACUCCCUGUCCCUGGCUGGGUGAGUGAAACUUCAUUAAUUUCAAUAGAAGAGGAUAUGCACUCAAAAGAAGUUGAAGAAUAUGUGGCCAAAAAGGUUGAGACAAAUAGGUAGAAUGGCUAAGUCGUUCAUCCAAAUGCUUGAAAAACUCAUGUAGUUCUCCUAGGUGAUAGGAGAGCAACAAUUAAUAAGGUUUGAAAAAAUACACUCUCAAGAAAAUAAAAAUCAGCCAAAAAGCUACUUGGAGUUGCUAAAGCAACGGAGGGUUAAGGCAUAUGAAAUCAGGAAAAACAGCAUUUUCAAUGAUGCAUCUUAUAUCUCAGACAAUGCUCAAAGAAAAUGUCUCAAAGCUCAAGCAUCAGAUCAAGUAUCAAGAUUUGCCUUUACAAUUAGCCUUCUUGCUCCUAGUUGAAUAUUAUUUCUAAUAUUUGAUUCAACUACUUCAGCUAUCCAAAUUGAAGAUUUUUACAUGUGUUUGCUACAGACUAGUCAGUACGAGUUCUCACACACAUAUCUAACACUGAAAACUUGAAAGGACAGCGGCUUCUAGUUUCAGCUAAAAGAGGGCCCUCAAAGCGAUGAUUAUAUUACAGAAAUACAAAUUUCAGAAAAAGAACACACACACAUAUGGUAAGGUGAAACUGCUACCUGAUCAGCGACAGCAUAUAAGAUUGCAAUAAUACAGGGAAGACAGCAGCAAACAGCAAUGCCGAUAACACAUGCCAGAGCAACACAGAAAACGACAAAGAACACAUCAAAACCCAGAAAAAUUAUACAAAGCCUGCAGAUCAAAAAUUCCAUUGCAACCGGUAAGAUUCUAAUACCAGAAAACACUUCAACCUCAAACCACACAGAAAGGGGUUAAACAAACCAAUAGAGUUGAGGGGAACCAUGCGCCAAAGUUUGGCCACCAGCAGAUACCCAGUAAAAGCCAAUGAUCCACCAGAUAAAAGAAAACAUUGUAUUCGCAGAUUCCAGAUGCUUUGCAACACUGCUGUGGCUGGUUCCAUCUUCCUCCAGUUGAGCCAACGUAACAUACUCCCCAGAAUCCCCUCUCGAUCCGGAACUCGAAUUCCCAUCACUUCCAAGCCCUCGCUCCAUCCCUACAAAUCCCACUCGCCUCCUCCGCCGCCUCCUAUACUCCACACACACACAAAGCAUAUGCAACACGCACUGAAACGCAUACCCAGCAAUCCACAGCCUCAAUGGCAUAUUGGGAUGCUCUUCCCUGCUUAAUAUCAGCACCGCCACAGCCACCGCCACAAACGCAAAGUUCCAGAUAAUGUCGAGAAUCACCACAGGUUUCGAAUACGCCCAGUCGCUCUGCCGUUCCUCGAGCUGCUCGGCGGCAGUCUCGCGCACCAGCAUCGAGGGCUCCCGCAUCAUGCGACGACUGCUGGCGCGACGCAGGAACCGCGCGGCGUCGCGCAGGGAUUGACGGCGGGCGGAUCGAGUGGCGGAAUUGUUCCCGGAUUCGCCAUGGGAGGCAGGGGAAAUCAACGGCGUUGCGUCGACGAUGUCAUCGGAGGAUCUAGUCGAGGUGGGGACCCUGGCGUUAAUUGUGGAGGUCGCGGUGGACAUUUUGGGGAAUUUAUAAUUAAUUGAAGCUUUGGGCCAUGAAAUAGGGAAGAGGGAUUUUCAGAUUUGGGGAUGGAAGAAAAAUUAGGGAAGGUUACUGAGAUUAGAGAAAUAGUAGUUUUUGAUUUUAAUU
RNAcentral lists this unclassified non-coding RNA (2656 nucleotides) under Hevea brasiliensis (rubber tree). The record is from RNAcentral. Lineage: Eukaryota; Viridiplantae; Streptophyta; Magnoliopsida; Malpighiales; Euphorbiaceae.